UACGUAGGGUGCGAGCGUUAAUCGGAAUUACUGGGCGUAAAGUGUGCGCAGGCGGCCGAGCAAGUCGAGUGUGAAAUCCCCGGGCUUAACUUGGGAAUUGCGCUCGAAACUACUUGGCUGGAGUGUGGCAGAGGAAGGUGGAAUUCCACGUGUAGCGGUGAAAUGCGUAGAGAUGUGGAGGAACACCAAUGGCGAAGGCAGCCUUCUGGGCCAACACUGACGCUCAUGCACGAAAGCGUGGGGAGCAAACAGG
RNAcentral lists this ribosomal RNA (253 nucleotides) under uncultured bacterium. RNAcentral's name for it is "partial 16S ribosomal RNA". It matches the Rfam family "Bacterial small subunit ribosomal RNA", at positions 524 to 776 of the family's 1533-position model. The record is from RNAcentral.